CCUACGGGAGGCAGCAGUGAGGAAUAUUGGUCAAUGGGCGCGAGUCUGAACCAGCCAAGCCGCGUGAAGGAUGACUGCCCUACGGGUUGUAAACUUCUUUUAUAAAGGAAUAAAGUGAGGCACGUGUGCCUUUUUGUCUGUACUUUAUGAAUAAGGAUCGGCUAACUCGGUGCCAGCAGCCGCGGUAAUACGGAGGUUCCGAGCGUUAUCCGGAUUUAUUGGGUUUAAAGGGAGCGUAGAUGGUUUUUAAAGUCGGUUGUGAAAGUUUGGGGCUCAAUCGUAAAUUGCAAUUGAUACUGGCAGCCUUGAGUACAGUUGAGGUAGGCGGAAUUCGUGGUGUAGCGGUGAAAUGCUUAGAUAUCACGAAGAACUCCGAUUGCGAAGGCAGCCUACUAAACUGCCACUGACAUUGAUGCUCGAAAGUGUGGGGAUCAAACAGGAUUAGAUACCCUUGUAGUC
Molecule: ribosomal RNA, 459 nt
Filed under: uncultured bacterium
Lineage: Bacteria
Description: partial 16S ribosomal RNA
Rfam family: Bacterial small subunit ribosomal RNA
Source: RNAcentral